RNAcentral lists this ribosomal RNA (331 nucleotides) under Allapsidae sp. RNAcentral's name for it is "SSU rRNA". The stretch from base 115 to 331 matches the Rfam family "Eukaryotic small subunit ribosomal RNA", at positions 738 to 955 of the family's 1831-position model. The record is from RNAcentral. RNAcentral also lists the same sequence under 1 other name. Lineage: Eukaryota; Cercozoa; Glissomonadida; Viridiraptoridae.
GAUUUCUGAUAUGAUGUAUUUGUCCCGCCACGGUUAACGUGUGUGAGUGACGAUAUAUGUCUAUCAUCCUUCUAGAGAAUAUAUUAGUUAGCCUUUAUUGGUUUGAUUAGUAUACUUAUCUAGAUCUUUUACUUUGAAAAAAUUAGAGUGUUUCAAGCAGGCGUUUUGCUAUGAAUACAUUAGCAUGGAAUAAUAAGUUAGGACUUCGGUUCUAUUUUGUUGGUUUCUAGAGCUGAAGUAAUGAUUGAUAGGGAUAGUUGGGGGUGCUAGUAUUCAGCGGCCAGAGGUGAAAUUCUUGGAUUCGCUGAAGACUAACUUAUGCGAAAGCAUU